RNAcentral lists this ribosomal RNA (492 nucleotides) under uncultured bacterium. RNAcentral describes it as "partial 16S ribosomal RNA". It matches the Rfam family "Bacterial small subunit ribosomal RNA", at positions 29 to 507 of the family's 1533-position model. The record is from RNAcentral.
AGUGAACGCUGGCGGUAGGCCUAACACAUGCCAGUCGAACGGCAGCACAGUAAGAGCUUGCUCUUACGGGUGGCGAGUGGCGGACGGGUGAGGAAUACAUCGGAAUCUACUUUUUCGUGGGGGAUAACGUAGGGAAACUUACGCUAAUACCGCAUACGACCUACGGGUGAAAGCAGGGGAUCUUCGGACCUUGCGCGAUUGAAUGAGCCGAUGUCGGAUUAGCUAGUUGGCGGGGUAAAGGCCCACCAAGGCGACGAUCCGUAGCUGGUCUGAGAGGAUGAUCAGCCACACUGGAAAUGAGACACGGUCCAGACUCCUACGGGAGGCAGCAGUGGGGAAUAUUGGACAAUGGGCGCAAGCCUGAUCCAGCCAUACCGCGUGGGUGAAGAAGGCCUUCGGGUUGUAAAGCCCUUUUGUUGGGAAAGAAAAGCAGCAGGUUAAUACCCCGCUGUUCUGACGGUACCCAAAGAAUAAGCACCGGCUAACUUCGUG